This is a non-coding RNA of Cucurbita pepo subsp. pepo (vegetable marrow), 1721 nucleotides long. The record is from RefSeq and is a predicted model, not a curated record. NCBI's taxonomy places the organism in Eukaryota, Viridiplantae, Streptophyta, Magnoliopsida, Cucurbitales, Cucurbitaceae.
AAAAGUGGUCUAUGGAAGUAAGGGCCAAUCAAAUGCUCUCACGUAGUCUAACGCCAUUGAUACUAACAGAGCAACCUCCGUUCGCCGUAGUUUCUUCGAUCCCUUUCGGCGGCAAGGUAUCUGUGUUCAAUGACUCCCAAUCGAAAAUAUUUGCAUCUGUUUUCAUAAUUUCACUCAAUUUAGCGGUUUCUGGAAAAGUUUUGAAUGGAUGAGAAGGUGAAUUUGAUUGGAUUGGAUUGAAUGUUCAUGUGGUGGGUGAAAUGAUGAUUCGAAUUUUCUUCUUCGUUAAUCGACGAAGAACAUUAGCGAUUUCUACGUUUCAUAGCUUUGAUUGAUCGUAUGGUUCUAUUGAUUCCUUCGCAAAAUUACUUGUCCUCUUAAUGUUGUAAUUAGGAGACAUUAGGUUAAUUAUUUCUAUGAGGAUUCAGAUUAUGAGCGAGUUUUCUUCCAUAUCAAGGCAUAGGUUUCCCAUGUCAGGCCAUUAUGGAAGGAUUGCAGGAAAAUUUUAAAGGAGUGACUGGAAAAGUGGAGUGGAGCAUCUUUUACUUACUUUGUGCUGUAGUUUUCCACACUAGUGGCAAUAUUCUUCAAUGAGUAUUUCUGUUGUUGAUUUAACUUUGACAUCCUUUUUUUUUUCCUGAUUUCAAUUAAUCUUGUCUGCUUAUUGGGAACAUGGACUGUAGUUUGGAUUUAAAAUAAGCUGCUCAUUCCCUUUGAAAAGGGAAAGGUGUCUUUUAAGAACAAAUUAAGGUUCUUUGGGCUAUUAUGACUAUAAUCAAGAAAAUAGCUUUAGAAGUUUCGUUAUUGAGUUGGGGCCUCCAUAUUGAAAAGGAAAACUCUGUGUUUAUAGAAAAAUUGAGAAUAGUUCUUUAAUGCCAUUCACUUCACAAGACUUAUUGGUUCUCUUGUUUGUUUGUUAUUCUGAAACGAACAGUUCUUCAGGAUUUUCUUUGUUCCUUUGCAUAAUUCGGUAUCUCUGGUCACCCUGUUUUUUACUAUAUGAGGUCGUAGUUGUAGUUUUUUUGGUUUUUUUUGCUAGGAACUUAGUCAUGUUAUUGAAUAUCGGAUAAGGCUUUUGAUUCAUCAAUGCUAAGAGAACUAAAAGUCGCUUGGCCUUGUAAUGGGAAACCAAGAAAGAAAAGGAAAAAGGGUCCUUGUAUAGAUUGAUUUGUGGCUGGAGGACAUUGCCUGCUUCUCAUUGCAGUUGGCAAUAAAUCUUCAUUUCUCAAAAGUUUGCUUAGCUGCUUACUUUGGUGAUAUGUGAAGUAUCAAUAUAUGGCAAAAAGAAAGUGCAUCGCACAAGAAUUCAAGGUGGGGAAUCUCAAUUGGCUCUCACCUUUAAUACUUCCUUACCUUUACCCUACAUCAAUAGGAAGGGGCCUUCUCCUACUGCAAUCACCUCAUACCUUCCACUUACUGUUUUUUUUUGUGAACUAACCAAAGGACAAGGCCGAGGCAAGCUAAAUCAGGUUGCUUUCUUCCAUGGAGUUUUUUUUUUUUUCUUUCUAAAACCUUUUGACUUUCAUGGGGAUGUUGAUAACAUUGCAUUUUUUUUGGAGUAGGAGGAAGCUGCUUGGAAGCAAAAUCAAGUUACAUUCUUCUAUGGUAACAUUGACAACAUACAAUUGUUGCUAGAAUGAUGUUCACUAAGAGUUCCUAUUUAAUUUUUUAUAAGUUAUUUUUAAUGACUUAUAUAGAUAUUUAUGAGAUCUUUUUAUCCA